UAUCAUGUAAACAGGAUUUAGGCUGCGCUCCUGGCGGGUUAUGAUUGGUUGAAAUGUUGAGGUCACAUCUGAUUGGUUAAAGAGCACGACUGACGCGGACUGACUCAAGUGGGAGAAGUAUCUUGCAUAUAUAUAUGGAUGGAUGUAUUUAAACAUACAUACAGUAUAUGUAUACAUGUGUGUGUGGCUGUUGUCAUCAUUUGUGUGUUAAUCGCCGUGUGUGUCUAAUAAUAUGUCACAUUCUAUCCCCCAAUUGCAUCUAUAUAAGUGGAGGCUUCCCUAAUGUGAUUGGUGCCAUAGACUGCACCCACAUUCCUAUCAAGGCCCCAUCAGGCCCCAAUGAAGGGGAUUUUGUGAAUCGAAAGGGUGUUCACAGUGUUAAUGUGCAGGUGAUUACGAUGGCGUUCUUAUUGGAGACAGGGGUUAUGCCUGCAGGCAGUAUUUCAUGACUCCAUUCCCAGACCCAGACCCAGGUCCACAAGCCCGAUACAAUGCAGCUCUAACUAGGACAAGGGCACGCAUUGAAAUGACCUUUGGGCA
Paramormyrops kingsleyae is the source of this 540-nucleotide non-coding RNA. Lineage: Eukaryota; Metazoa; Chordata; Actinopteri; Osteoglossiformes; Mormyridae. The record is from RefSeq and is a predicted model, not a curated record.